UAUUGUAAUUAUACUAAUAAUAUUUACUCUAAUAAAUUCGGUUACAUUAUCGUCUUUGUCAUGGACAUCAACAUCCCCAUAAGGUUUACUGUAAGACCCGUAAAUUUUGGGAAUGGUGGGGACAUGGUGGGCACCACCCUUUCAUUUAUUGAGCUGCAUUAUUGAAGGGGGCAGGAGGAAGCAAUUAGAAGUCACGAGAGUUGUCUUUUUGGAAGUGGGGAGCAAGAAAACGUCCGUGAUUCUCUUGUGUUUGGCACCAUGCAAGCUUGAAAGAUAAAAGGAGGUACUGGUUUCUGAAAUGGAGAAGAAGCCUUGCUACCUUGCUGCCAUUUUUGUGAGAGAAGGAGAAGUUCAAAGCUUGGUGGAAUUGCUUGGAGCUGCAAGUUUUGGAAGAGUUAGACUCAAAGAAUUCACAAAGGAAGUCUUCAAGAGCUUGGUUUGGGCGAGCGUUGACGAGCGGGGGAUUUAUAGUGGAAAGGUGUAAUUGUGUACGUCUGUGAACGUUCGCCAUUUUCCAGAGGGAGAUGAGCGUUUGGAAGAUGCGUUAAACGAAGAGAACCUGGUUGAUGCCGAAGUGAAGAUCGAGCAGUGAGACCGCUCGACCAGCAUUGUAUUUUGUUGAACUGAGUGGUCGUUCGACCAUCUCUUGUUUUCUUUUAAGAUUAUUUCGAUCGUUCGGUAAUUGUUCUGUGUAAACCGUUCGGUCAGGUUUUUAUUUGUGCGUUCGACUUCAGAUUGUGAUUCGUGUUGUAAGGAGUACGGCUUGGCUUUUGUUUUUAGUGAAAAAC
Vigna angularis (adzuki bean) is the source of this 788-nucleotide long non-coding RNA. RefSeq lists it as uncharacterized. The transcript is spliced from 3 exons. Lineage: Eukaryota; Viridiplantae; Streptophyta; Magnoliopsida; Fabales; Fabaceae. The record is from RefSeq and is a predicted model, not a curated record.